Molecule: ribosomal RNA, 497 nt
Filed under: uncultured bacterium
Lineage: Bacteria
Description: partial 16S ribosomal RNA
Rfam family: Bacterial small subunit ribosomal RNA
Source: RNAcentral
GAUGAACGCUGGCGGCGUGCCUAAUACAUGCAAGUCGAGCGAACAGAUGAGGAGCUUGCUCCUCUGACGUUAGCGGCGGACGGGUGAGUAACACGUGGAUAACCUACCUAUAAGACUGGGAUAACUUCGGGAAACCGGAGCUAAUACCGGAUAAUAUAUUGAACCGCAUGGUUCAAUAGUGAAAGACGGUUUUGCUGUCACUUAUAGAUGGAUCCGCGCCGCAUUAGCUAGUUGGUAAGGUAACGGCUUACCAAGGCAACGAUGCGUAGCCGACCUGAGAGGGUGAUCGGCCACACUGGAACUUAGCCACGGUCCAGACUCCUACGGGAGGCAGCAGUAGGGAAUCUUCCGCAAUGGGCGAAAGCCUGACGGAGCAACGCCGCGUGAGUGAUGAAGGUCUUCGGAUCGUAAAACUCUGUUAUUAGUGAAGAACAAAUGUGUAAGUAACUAUGCACGUCUUGACGGUACCUAAUCAGAAAGCCCCGGCUAACCACGUG